GGGUUGUGAGGUUAAGCGACUAAGCGUACACGGUGGAUGCCCUGGCAGUCAGAGGCGAUGAAGGACGUGCUAAUCUGCGAAAAGCGUCGGUAAGGUGAUAUGAACCGUUAUAGCCGGCGAUGUCCGAAUGGGGAAACCCAGUGCAAUUCGUUGCACUAUCGUUAACUGAAUACAUAGGUUAACGAGGCGAACCGGGGGAACUGAAACAUCUAAGUACCCCGAGGAAAAGAAAUCAACCGAGAUUCCCCCAGUAGCGGCGAGCGAACGGGGAGCAGCCCAGAGUCUGAAUCAGCUUGUGUGUUAGUGGAACGGUCUGGAAAGUCCGACGGUACAGGGUGAUAGUCCCGUACACCAAAAUGCACAGGUUGUGAACUCGAAGAGUAGGGCGGGACACGUGGUAUCCUGUCUGAAUAUGGGGGGACCAUCCUCCAAGGCUAAAUACUCCUGACUGACCGAUAGUGAACCAGUACCGUGAGGGAAAGGCGAAAAGAACCCCUGCGAGGGGAGUGAAAAAGAACCUGAAACCGUGUACGUACAAGCAGUGGGAGCACCUUCGGGUGUGACUGCGUACCUUUUGUAUAAUGGGUCAGCGACUUAUAUUCUGUAGCAAGGUUAACCGUAUAGGGGAGCCGCAGGGAAACCGAGUCUUAACUGGGCGUUAAGUUGCAGGGUAUAGACCCGAAACCCGGUGAUCUAGCCAUGGGCAGGUUGAAGGUUGGGUAACACUAACUGGAGGACCGAACCGACUAAUGUUGAAAAAUUAGCGGAUGACUUGUGGCUGGGGUGAAAGGCCAAUCAAACCGGGAGAUAGCUGGUUCUCCCCGAAAGCUAUUUAGGUAGCGCCUCGUGAACUCAUCUUCGGGGGUAGAGCACUGUUUCGGCUAGGGGGUCAUCCCGACUUACCAACCCGAUGCAAACUACGAAUACCGAAGAAUGUUAUCACGGGAGACACACGGCGGGUGCUAACGUCCGUCGUGAAGAGGGAAACAACCCAGACCGCCAGCUAAGGUCCCAAAGUCAUGGUUAAGUGGGAAACGAUGUGGGAAGGCACAGACAGCCGGGAUGUUGGCUUAGAAGCAGCCAUCAUUUAAAGAAAGCGUAAUAGCUCACUGGUCGAGUCGGCCUGCGCGGAAGAUGUAACGGGGCUAAACCAUGCACCGAAGCUGCGGCAGCGACACUAUGUGUUGUUGGGUAGGGGAGCGUUCUGUAAGCCUGCGAAGGUGUGCUGUGAGGCAUGCUGGAGGUAUCAGAAGUGCGAAUGCUGACAUAAGUAACGAUAAAGCGGGUGAAAAGCCCGCUCGCCGGAAGACCAAGGGUUCCUGUCCAACGUUAAUCGGGGCAGGGUGAGUCGACCCCUAAGGCGAGGCCGAAAGGCGUAGUCGAUGGGAAACAGGUUAAUAUUCCUGUACUUGGUGUUACUGCGAAGGGGGGACGGAGAAGGCUAUGUUAGCCGGGCGACGGUUGUCCCGGUUUAAGCAUGUAGGCUGGUUAUCGGGCAAAUCCGGAUAAUCAAGGCUGAGGUGUGAUGACGAGGCACUACGGUGCUGAAGUAACAAAUGCCCUGCUUCAAGGAAAAGCCUCUAAGCAUCAGGUAACAUCAAAUCGUACCCCAAACCGACACAGGUGGUCAGGUAGAGAAUACCAAGGCGCUUGAGAGAACUCGGGUGAAGGAACUAGGCAAAAUGGUGCCGUAACUUCGGGAGAAGGCACGCUGGUGUGUAGGUGAAGUCCCUGCGGAUGGAGCUGAGACCAGUCGAAGAUACCAGCUGGCUGCAACUGUUUAUUAAAAACACAGCACUGUGCAAACACGAAAGUGGACGUAUACGGUGUGACGCCUGCCCGGUGCCGGAAGGUUAAUUGAUGGGGUUAUCCGUAAGGAGAAGCUCUUGAUCGAAGCCCCGGUAAACGGCGGCCGUAACUAUAACGGUCCUAAGGUAGCGAAAUUCCUUGUCGGGUAAGUUCCGACCUGCACGAAUGGCGUAAUGAUGGCCAGGCUGUCUCCACCCGAGACUCAGUGAAAUUGAACUCGCUGUGAAGAUGCAGUGUACCCGCGGCAAGACGGAAAGACCCCGUGAACCUUUACUAUAGCUUGACACUGAACAUUGAGCCUUGAUGUGUAGGAUAGGUGGGAGGCUUUGAAGCGUGGACGCCAGUCUGCGUGGAGCCAACCUUGAAAUACCACCCUUUAAUGUUUGAUGUUCUAACGUUGGCCCCUGACCGGGGUUGCGGACAGUGUCUGGUGGGUAGUUUGACUGGGGCGGUCUCCUCCCAAAGCGUAACGGAGGAGCACGAAGGUUAGCUAAUCUGGUCGGACAUCAGGAGGUUAGUGCAAUGGCAUAAGCUAGCUUGACUGCGAGCGUGACGGCGCGAGCAGGUGCGAAAGCAGGUCAUAGUGAUCCGGUGGUUCUGAAUGGAAGGGCCAUCGCUCAACGGAUAAAAGGUACUCCGGGGAUAACAGGCUGAUACCGCCCAAGAGUUCAUAUCGACGGCGGUGUUUGGCACCUCGAUGUCGGCUCAUCACAUCCUGGGGCUGAAGUAGGUCCCAAGGGUAUGGCUGUUCGCCAUUUAAAGUGGUACGCGAGCUGGGUUUAGAACGUCGUGAGACAGUUCGGUCCCUAUCUGCCGUGGGCGCUGGAGAAUUGAGGGGGGCUGCUCCUAGUACGAGAGGACCGGAGUGGACGCAUCACUGGUGUUCGGGUUGUCAUGCCAAUGGCACUGCCCGGUAGCUAAAUGCGGAAGAGAUAAGUGCUGAAAGCAUCUAAGCACGAAACUUGCCCCGAGAUGAGUUCUCCCUGAGACUUUAAGUCUCCUGAAGGAACGUUAAAGACGAUGACGUUGAUAGGCCGGGUGUGUAAGCGCAGCGAUGCGUUGAGCUAACCGGUACUAAUGAACCGUGAGGCUUAACCUUACAACGCCGAAG
Molecule: ribosomal RNA, 2920 nt
Filed under: Klebsiella pneumoniae
Lineage: Bacteria; Pseudomonadati; Pseudomonadota; Gammaproteobacteria; Enterobacterales; Enterobacteriaceae
Description: 23S ribosomal RNA
Rfam family: Bacterial large subunit ribosomal RNA
Source: RNAcentral